This 428-nucleotide ribosomal RNA is filed under the name Dysdera unguimmanis. Its description in RNAcentral is "partial 16S ribosomal RNA". It matches the Rfam family "Bacterial large subunit ribosomal RNA", at positions 1817 to 2600 of the family's 2925-position model. The record is from RNAcentral. Lineage: Eukaryota; Metazoa; Arthropoda; Arachnida; Araneae; Dysderidae.
AGCUUUAUGCUAUUACACAAAGUACCUCCUGCUCAGUGAAUAUCAACAGCCGCAGAAUUUUACACUGUGCAAAGGUAGCAUAAUCACUUGUCUUUUAAUUAAAGAAUAGAAUGAACGGAUAAACGAAUUUCAGCCUGUUUCGUUUUUUCACAAUAAAACUACCAAAAAGUAACAACACUUUUUUCCAAAAAAAAGACGAUAAGACCCUAAAGAACUUCACUUAAGUUAAGCUGGGGCGGCUUUUUAAAAAAAUCUUAUUCUAAAUUUAUCCCCCCUCACUAGAUUUCCAAUGUUACCUUAGGGAUAACAGCAUAAUUUAAUUUAAUAGCUCUUAUUAAAAAUUAAGAUUAUGACCUCGAUGUUGAAUUAAAAAUCUUCUAAACGAAAAAAAUUAGCAAGAAAGUCUGUUCGACUUUUAAUUAUUUACA